GACAGAGGGUGCAAACGUUGCUCGGAAUUACUGGGCGUAAAGCGCGUGUAGGCGGACCGGUAAGUCAGAUGUGAAAGCCCUGGGCUCAACCUAGGAACUGCAUUUGAAACUGCCGGUCUAGAGUGGUGGAGAGGGAAGUGGAAUUCCUGGUGUAGAGGUGAAAUUCGUAGAUAUCAGGAGGAACACCGGUGGCGAAGGCGGCUUCCUGGACACUAACUGACGCUGAGACGCGAAAGCGUGGGGAGCAAACAGG
This 253-nucleotide ribosomal RNA is filed under the name uncultured bacterium. RNAcentral describes it as "partial 16S ribosomal RNA". It matches the Rfam family "Bacterial small subunit ribosomal RNA", at positions 524 to 776 of the family's 1533-position model. The record is from RNAcentral.